Long non-coding RNA from Alligator sinensis (Chinese alligator), 2703 nucleotides. RefSeq lists it as uncharacterized. The record is from RefSeq and is a predicted model, not a curated record. The transcript has 8 exons. NCBI's taxonomy places the organism in Eukaryota, Metazoa, Chordata, Crocodylia, Alligatoridae.
GUCAGGGCCCGCGCCGCCGCCAUCAUGGGGGGGGCCCGGCCCUCGCCGCCGCCGCCAUGUUGGGGAGGUCGCGGCCUGUGGGCGGGCGUGGGGAGCCCACCAGAAAACCCACGGGAUUUAGGUGCACGCAGCUCUUCGUGUGGCACCGACGGGGUUUAGACACGCGGGGGUACCAGUGUAGGAUCUAUGCAACCUUAGAUGUGCAAGGUAGUGCAGUGUCUAUGGGCUUUAGAGACACGGGUCCCGAUGUAGGAUCUGUGCAACCUUAGACGUGCAUAGCACAGUGCCCAAUGUAGCGCCUAUGGGCUUUAGACACGCAGGGGGUCCCGAUGUAGCACGUACACAACCUUUGACGUGCAUAACACAGUGCCCAGUGUAGCGUCUGUGGGCUUUAGACACGCGGGGGGUCCCGAUGUAGCAUCUGCACAACCUUAGAUGUGCAUACACAGUGCCCAAUGUAGCAUCUAUGGGCUUUAGACACGCAGGGGUCCCGAUGUAGGAUCUAUGCGACCUUAGACAUGCAUAGCACGGUGCCCAAUGUAGUGUCUAUGGGCUUUAGACACGCAGGGGUCCCGAUGUAGGAUCUAUGCGACCUUAGACAUGCAUAGCACGGUGCCCAAUGUAGCGUCUAUGGGCUUUAGACACACAGGGGUCCCAAUGUAGGAUCUAUGCAACCUUAGAUAUGCACAGCACAGUGCCCAAUGUAGUGUCUAUGGGCGUUAGACACACGGGAGUCCCAAUGUAGCAUCUGCACAACCUUAGAUGUGCAUAGCACGGUGCCCAAUGUAGCGUCUAUGGGCUUUAGACACGCAGGGGUCCCGAUGUAGGAUCUAUGUGACCUUAGACAUGCAUAGCAUAGUGUCCAACGUAGUGUCUACGGGCUUUAGACAUGCGUGGGUCCCAAUGUAGGAUCUACGCAAGCUUAGACGUGCCUAGUUCUCAGUGUAGCACCUACACGGCUGUAGAUGCACCGUGUCCAAUGUAGCGCCUAUGGGCUUUAGACACACAAAGCCACAUCCUGCAGAUGGGAUUAGUCCACGGGCCAAAUCCAGCAUGGGAUGAUCAGCAUGCAGGUCUCUCCAUGGGUGCAAUCCAGGACAAACCCGCAUGCUGGAUCUGACUGCAGAGCGACCCGGGUGCUGACACAAUCUGGCGCAGGGAGCCAUGUCAUCUAGCUUGCAGGGCUCCCCACGGUGUGGAAAUUGGGAGGGGAAGCAGUGGCAGCAUUAAUGUCACUGCCACCGAAUUUCCAGACCCGUGGGGUGCCCCAUGGGCAGAACAGCAUGGCCCCAUGGGCCGCAUUCGACCCAUGGGUUGGAGGUUGAGCACCCCUGUUCCCGAGCGCUAGCCAGCCUGUUGCGGUGUGCUCGGUAUGAAAUGGCAACGGCAUGCCAAGAGGGAUGCCAAAGCACGCUCCUCUAGGGAGGACCAAGCCAGACCCAUUUCAGAUGCAAAAUACCGACACGCAGGAGUCAACAGAGUUCCCUAAGUUUCGUGGUUAUGGGAUCACAGCUGUGUGUUGAGCAGUGAGGUGGUUGCUGCGGUCUGUGGUCAAAGCUGUUUCGUCUGCAUGGGAUCCUAGAGAGCGGCACAGGUGCUAAAUGGCCAUUUCAUGGGACAAGGCAGUGAUUUCCCACCUGGGACUUCUGCCCAGGAUGAGACCUCUUGUUCCUACCACAGUUCAGGAAAACGGGACAGUGUGCGUGAAAUGCAAAUGGCACUAAGAGUGUCUACUUCUACCAGGAAUAGAAACUGCAGAACUGCAAGUACCUACUGCCGCUUACCCAAGGAUGAAACGAUGAAAAGGUCCUUGGCGCACAGUUGGAUUCAACAGCAGUUUAGACAUCUGCAUAAAAGUCAUCAUAUUAGCCAAGGGAGAACAUUGCAGCUGGUUUGUAGUAGAAUCAUGAUUCUGGAAAUACUCCUGAUGCCACAGUGCCAAGUGUGUCAAUACCUUUCUGAUGGAGAUGUCCAGAGCUGAUUGCACUAUUCCACGUCGAGUUCAACCAGAGCCAGCUCAGGGCGAGCUGUUCAGUGCCUCCUCUCUGUUCUGGGAUUUGUUACCUCUGCGUGAAGGGUGAACUCGUCUCAAGCAGUAGGAGGGCACGUUCUGAGCAUGAAACAGUUUAGUAACGACCUGAUAUCUUGCGGUGGCCAGAGGAAACGCUACACGGACACACUGAAGGCAGACCUCAAGAAAACGGAUGCCGACAUCAAGAGCUGGGAGGAGCUGGCUGCUGACCGACUCCAGUGGUGCUGCAACCAAGCAGCAACCUGUUUUGAGGUCACUGUUUGAGACUGUCCAGGCAGAAGACCACUACUCCAAAGAAGACACAGCGACUUGCCUUUCAGUAACCAGCUCUUAGGGUGAAGGGCACAAGAGAAACCAGGCAAAGGAUGCUGCAGAGCAGAAAAAAUAGUUCCAGUUGCCUGUCCUGGGAGUGCAUGAACAUCCUAGAGGGACAUAUAUAUGGAGAGAACAUUGCAAAGAAUGCCAGGACCAGUGAAGAGAACAGCAAGCAAAACGUAGGUGCAUCGUAGUGCCUGGAUGCACAGUCUCUUCGAGAGUCUGGGAAAGACCUUAGCAGCUGCUCUAGUAUUAUCAUUAAACCAACAGCUCCGUCUGGAUAUCAGAUUGUACCAGUUUUCCUGUAGUCUCUUGCUCCUUUUGUAUACCUCUUUCUGGCAAACAAGGCAUUAAAA